Molecule: ribosomal RNA, 385 nt
Filed under: uncultured crenarchaeote
Lineage: Archaea; Thermoproteati; Thermoproteota
Description: bacterial SSU rRNA
Rfam family: Archaeal small subunit ribosomal RNA
Source: RNAcentral
AACCAGCACCUCAAGUGGUCAGGAUGAUUAUUGGGCCUAAAGCAUCCGUAGCCUGCUCUGUUAGUUUUCGGUUAAAUCCAUGUGCUCAACACAUGGGCUGCCGAAAAUACUGCAGAGCUAGGGAGUGGGAGAGGUAGACGGUACUCAGUAGGAAGGGGUAAAAUCCUUUGAUCUAUUGAUGACCACCUGUGGCGAAGGCGGUCUACCAGAACACGUUCGACGGUGAGGGAUGAAAGCUGGGGGAGCAAACCGGAUUAGAUACCCGGGUAGUCCCAGCUGUAAACGAUGCAGACUCGAUGAUGCAUUGGCUUAUUGCCAAUGCAGUGUCGCAGGGAAGCCGUUAAGUCUGCCGCCUGGGAAGUACGUACGCAAGUAUGAAACUUAA